CCUACGGGGAGCAGCAGUGGGGAAUAUUGCACAAUGGGGGAAACCCUGAUGCAGCGACGCCGCGUGAGUGAAGAAGUAUUUCGGUACGUAAAGCUCUAUCAGCAGGGAAGAGUAGAAGACGGUACCUGACGAAUAAGCCACGGCUAACUACGUGCCAGCAGCCGCGGUAAUACGUAGGUGGCAAGCGUUGUCCGGAUUUACUGGGUGUAAAGGGCGUGUAGCCGGGUUGACAAGUCAGAUGUGAAAUCCUGCGGCUUAACCGCAGAACUGCAUUUGAAACUGUUGAUCUUGAGUACUGGAGAGGCAGACGGAAUUCCUAGUGUAGCGGUGAAAUGCGUAGAUAUUAGGAGGAACACCAGUGGCGAAGGCGGUCUGCUGGACAGCAACUGACGGUGAGGCGCGAAAGCGUGGGGAGCAAACAGGAUUAGAUACCCGUAUAGUC
This 442-nucleotide ribosomal RNA is filed under the name uncultured bacterium. RNAcentral describes it as "partial 16S ribosomal RNA". It matches the Rfam family "Bacterial small subunit ribosomal RNA", at positions 338 to 795 of the family's 1533-position model. The record is from RNAcentral.